RNAcentral lists this ribosomal RNA (324 nucleotides) under uncultured bacterium. RNAcentral describes it as "bacterial SSU rRNA". It matches the Rfam family "Bacterial small subunit ribosomal RNA", at positions 28 to 334 of the family's 1533-position model. The record is from RNAcentral.
GAUGAACGCUGGCGGCGUGCUUAACACAUGCAAGUCGAGCGAAGCACUUUUGCGGAUUUCUUCGGAUUGAAGCAACUGUGACUGAGCGGCGACGGGUGAAGGUACGCGUGGUAACCGUGCCUCAUACAGGGGGAUAACAGUUGGAAACGGCUGCUAAUACCGCAUAAGAGCACAGUACCGCAUGGUACCGUGUGAAAAACUCCGGUGGUAUGAGAUGGACCCGCGUCUGAUUAGCUAGUUGGUGGGGUAACGGCCUACCAAGGCGACGAUCGGUAGCCGGACUGAGGGGUUGAACGGCCACAUUGGGACUGAGACACGGCCCAG